GUUAGUUCACCUCUUAGGUUUUUCAAGAAAACUGAUUUCCUUAUAUCUAAUAAUUUUUGAAUCCCACUCAAUCUAUUCAAUAUUUUUUCUUACGAUAGAAAACGUUAACAAAAACCUUUUUGUUCCAACAUUGAACUUUCUCCACAAGUAGCUAAAUAAUGUUUUGAAGAGAACCAUUAAACUUCCAAGUCGACUUGACAAACUUAGGGAACUUCGGAUGGGUUAAGUAAGUUGCUAGAUACUUAAAAGACACUUGGCUGGUUGAAUUGGUUUUGUCAUCAAGGCUUAGUAGGAUAGGGCAAUGGUUAGAUUGUAUUCGAGGCAAGUGUCACUAAAGCUUCAGGAAAAGUGAGAUAUCCAUCUAUGUUACAUAAAUACUUGUCUAGAUGCUCAUGGACAAAACCCUUUUUCUAGGUAAAAUUUAGGACUUGAAAUCCCAUAUCUAUAAUUGCACUGGUGCUAAUAAAGUUCUAAAAUAAUCUACAGAGUUUGCUACCUAUGGUUGCACCCCCCCAAUCGUUUCAUGAGAAAAAAGAAAUGAAUUGAAAUCACCUCCAAUAACCCAAAGACCCAUAGCUGUGUUUGUUAUUUCUUGAAGAUCUUCCCAAAUUGCACAACUAGCAUUUGAGGUAGAAUGUCCAUAGAUGGCCAUAAAAAAAACAUUGAUAAUUGUUCUAUAAUUCUAGCAUGUAGUGUACAAAUUGAUCGUUGUUCAAUAAAACCUUAAAUAAAAUUUGAUGAUUUCGCAUGACCCAAAUUCCACCUAAAAACCCAUUAGCUUCAAUUUGAAGUGAGAAAUCAAAUCCAAUUUUUGGAUAAUAUCAUUUGCUAUAGCUCCACUAAUUCAUGGUUCAACUACCACCAAUAAUAAAGGCUCAAACUGUCUAUGGAAAUCUUUAACCACAUUUAAAAAUGCAUUACUCGCUACUUGGUAGUUCCAUACCAAAAAAUUCAUAACCAUAGCUAUUGAAUGCAUUGGUAGUGAUUCAAAUGAUUUAGGAGAAGAGUAGGGGGUCCCAUGAUAUACGCUAUUUACUAGCUUCUAUUUAGAGGUGUUUGAAUCAAGUUUCUUAUAGAAUUUUGCAUAUUCACUGUGAGGGUAAUCAAGCUGCAGACUAUUUAUCUAAUCGUGGUUAUUCACAUCCAAAUUUGCAUGUAUUCUCUCAAGCACAUGGUGAACUAUGAGGUACGUUAAGAUUAGACAAGCUUAAUCUAUCCUGUGUUAUGAUCAAAUAAAUGUAAAAGAGUAGUACUCUUAAUUUAUUUUUUCUUUAUUUUUAUAAAUUCAUGUAAACCAAUGUUAUUGCUAAUCCUUUGCAUGUAUGAAAAUGCAAGGCAAGUAUUACCUUGGAUAGGUUUACUGUUUUCGAUAUCUCAUGUAAUUUUGGAGGUAAGUUUUUUGUCCCUUUCAUUAUGUACUUUAUUUUAUUAAUUAAUAAAAUUUUAACAGAGUAGUUGAGCUUAGCAAGAAUUUCCAAUUAAAAAAAAAUCAUAACCAUAGCUAUACUCAAAGGAAAAUAACUAAACAUCGAAGAUCAAUCCUUUUAGUUGUUAGCAAAAACCAUACUUGUAUGGGACAUUGCCAUGAAUUCCAUUUUCUCUGUCUCAUCAAUCACAUCAUUGCUAUAUUUACUAUUAAGCAACUUCAUUGAACUAACGGUAAUACCAUAUUGGUUAUUAUCUAUUCCUUGAACCCUUUUCUUUAGCAAACCCUUUUCAAUGUCAGUUGUUAAAAAUUUUUUAUUUGGUGGUUUACCACCAUGACCAAUAACUACUCUUUUUACCGCCGCCAUGUGAUGAUUGAAGAGCUUUAAGCCUAUGAGCUAAGGUCGAUUUGACAGGCGAGUGCACUUUUAGUUGAUUCAAUCACAACCACUUUAUAAUUCUUAAGGUUUAGAAAAGAUUAGGCAGGUAGUGAUUUGUCCAUGUUAAGGUCAAAGUUUCUGGAAACUUCUGAUAGUUGCAUGGGAAAUAUAUCUUCCACGUUGGCGAGGGCAUGUGACUUUAAAUUCUAGCCCAUAGGACAAUCAACAUUGGUUUGGCUUUGAGAUAUUAUCAUCUCUUUGGGUCUAACAACAGUGGGUUUUUCUUCCAGGGGUGCACCUAAGUCAAUCACAGCAUUUCAUUUAUCAUUCAUUUUUUAGGUUCUUGCUAACUUGUCACUUGAAGUUUUCUUGGGCAUGAACACCGGAUCACUCUUUUUCAAAGUCGAAAUAUCCAAAGACUAAAGGAUGGAUAGACUAGUCACCAUGAUUUCCUCUUGCAAAACUUUCAUCCUUAAAUUGGUCUCCUUUCCCUGUAGAAUCACAAAACGAGAUCCAUUGCCAUUACCAUUAACUUGAGCUCCUGGUAGUUUAGGGCCCUGUUUGGAAGUAGUAAUACCUUUUUUGUUUGAAAGAUAACAUUGUCUCACUUGGUCACCAUCAUUUAAAGACCGAAUGGAAACUCUUGUGGAACAAUCAUCUCAUUGCAUCUGGUUUCACUCUCACAAUAAGAAGUCAUGUUAUGGGGGUUUUAAGACAAAUCUCCUUUGUGCGACCAUAACAUCUGCAACCAAAGCAAAUCCAAGGGAGACUUUCAUGUUCUAUAUUUUGUUCACAACCAUUGAUGUUAAGAUUUUCGAAAUCAAAUGUUUUGUGAGAUCAAACUCCACCGCAAUACAUGCGAACUUACCAUGUUGCUUAGACUCAAUGUUAUCAUCUAUCUUUACCAAUUUCCUAGGACAUUUGCAAUAGACAUAAAAACCCUCUUAUGAUGAGAUGAAUUGGCAUCCUAGGAAAUCAUACCCAUGCCACAAUUGUGCUUAGAUUUUCUUCUUGUGUGGAAAACUUUGGAUUCCAAGGGAAAACUGUUAAGUAAUGACCUAGAAUUACCAAUGGCCCCCCCACCAAAGCAUGGAUGUAAUUCUAUUCAUCACAAAAAUUAAUCAUGAAGUCACCACUGUUGAGAUCUAUAAUCUCAUAUCUGCCCAUUGUACUCCAUAAGGUGCUUAAACGAGAGCACAGGAUGUUAAACCCUAUCGAACGACCAAACAGUUAACUGUUAUAAAUUUACACCAUGGUUUCUCUAUUACAAAUUGUAAUUUUUCAGAUUCGACUAGAUUCAAAACCUCAUUGACAAUUGUGACAAUUACGUAAGUGGGAUCGUCUUCCUCCGUAAAACUUCCAUCCUUGGACUUUUUUCGUGAUUUAUUUCUAGAAUUCCCUUUUAGUAAAUCUAUGCUAUUUUCUUGAUGAUAUCCUCUGAACUUUGAAUCAUCCUCAGCCAUAGCAUCUUCAUUUGAAUUAGACUCAACAUUUUUUUCAUUGCCAGAUUCAGAAUUAAAGUCAUCUUCAUCUUGUUUGCCCAACAAUGCCUUUUUAAAGAUGGAUUCGAGAGAACCUUCAUAGGAAGAUCUGAAUCUUCUUUGUCUAUAGGAGAUGGCAUUUUCUCUUUUUUUUUUCUCUUCUAGGGUUUCUUUUUCUUUUUUUGUUCUUUUUUAUUAAGAAUUUUAAUACACGUUCAUAUUAAUAUAAUUAAAUUUGUUAGUUGUAACUAGAUCUAUCCAUGGAUGGGGUUAUCUACCAAGUCCAACUUGAGCUGAGGCUUGAACAUGAAUUUUGAGGACUGGACCUCACUUGAUAAUAUAUCAUAUUAAUAAGAGGAAAUUGCAAGAAUUAACCUUCCUAAUAAGGUCACUUCAAAAAUGACCUUCACUAUAAUUUUAAUUGUUGUUAGACAAUUUUUGGCAUGACUUAACAAGAAUACCCUUUAAACCAUUUAAUCCAAAUUAAGUGGUUCCGAUUUCUUUCUCCUCUCCCGUCAUUCAGAUAAAAAUUUCAAAAUUAAAUCUCGAUUUAGCUAUCUCUUCGUUUAGCUCUCCAACGCCAUCAAGGUCUAUAUCUUGUCAUCUAGCUCUCAACGCCAUCGAGGUCUAUAUCGCCAUCCAACUUUCUCACCAUCCCAAAAUGAGGAGAUGACAUCAAGGUAUUUGUUAUGGGUUCUUGGGUUUAUUUUUUUAUAGAAUGUAAAAGUUGAUAGGUAAAUUUUAUGACUUUGGAAACUUAAAUCUGGUUAGGAGUAGCAAAAUCAAUCAAUUUAUAGGUGAUGUGUAAAUAUUUGUUAAGCAUUGUGUCACUCGAUAAUAGGGUGUGUGACUGGAUAUUAGGAAUUGUAACUUGUUUAUAUGGCAUUACGUGACUAAAUAUUAGAUAAUGUGGGACUAGAUAAGAGGCAUUGCGAGACUAGAUUUUAGGAAUUGCAUGAGUUGUGCAUUGCGUGACUAGCUUGUAGGCAUUGCGUGACUGGUUUUUAGUAAUUGCAUUACUUUAUCUACUUAAUGCUAAAGUUGAUUGUCUACUAAUUCAGCCCCCUUAAUAACAAAUUUUGUAAAAUUAUAAGAGAAUUAGGAAUGCUUAAUAACCAAUUCAGCCACCUUAAUUCCACUUAUAUUAGUGCAGAAAACUAUCCAAAUUUGACUGACAUUGAACUUUGAAAUUCUCUUUAAAGUACAUAAUGCAUUGAUUUACAAGCUAACCAUAUUCAUCAGAAAAUAAGCCUAAAACCAUUGAACACCCUUCUAAGAGUCAGCAUUCAUGCCUAUAAAUAAAGGAAACCGUUAUCCAUUUUAAUCAAAAUCAUCUAAAGGAAAAUCUAAAAAUUCUAAUAAUAUCCAAACAUUCCAAAGUCAAAAGUGGGAAGAGGGUUGCUGCUAAAGAGGAAGAUAUCCUCGACAAUGUUACAGCAUAUCUGGUCAAGUUGAUGGACCAAAUUGAUAACAUGGAGAAAGACAUGUGUGGGUUGAUGGAUAAGUUGCUAGUUAGGAUAGAAGACUUGGAUACCAAAAUUUUGGGCAAUAAUAAGAUUCUAGCUGAAAUUUAUGAAAUAGUAAAUGAGAUUAGGAAGAAAUGAACCGUGGUUCAUAUGUUGUAUCAGCUACUUUUUUUAGCUAAUGAAUAAAAAUAUUAAUUGAUCACAUAUUUUCCAUAAAAUGAGUUACUGCGUUUAAUUUCUAUUAUGCUCAAUAACUUGGUUACUUGCCCUAGUUUCUUAAUUUUCUAUUUACAUAAGAAAAGCAAAAGUUUGAUGACAAAAGUUUGAAUAUUAUUUUAUUUAUAAGCAUUAAGUGAAUGGAUAUUGUGCAUUGUGUGAAUGGAUAAUGUGCAUUGUUUGAAUGGAUAUUAGGCAUUGAGUGUCUGGUUGUUAUGUAUUUCGUGAAUGGUUCUUAUGUAUAGCAUGACGUAAGGCCAAUGCGUGACUGGGUAUUUUGGCAUAAUGUGAAUGGAUGUUAGGCAUUACGUGACUUAUUAUUAGGAAUUUUGAGAUUGGGUUAUAGGCAUUGCGUGAAUUGGGCAAUGCAUAUCUUGUGUUGAGACAUUACGGGACUGGUUUUAUGUAUUGCGUGAUGUUAGGCCAAUACGUAACUGGUUAUGUUGGCAUAACGUGAGUGGAUAUUAAGCAUUGAGUGACUUAUUAUUAGGUAUCAUGAGACUAGGUCAUAGGCGCUGUGUGAAUUGUGCAAUGCAUAUCUUGUGUUGAGACAUUGCGUGACUGGUUUUUAUGUAUUGCGUGACUUAUUGUUAUAUAUUGCAUGAUGUUAGGCCAGUACGUUACUGGUUAUGUUGGCAUAACAUUAGUGGAUAUUAGGCAUUGAGUGAAUUAUUAUCAGCUAUUGCAAGACUAGUUGUGCAUGACUUGUGCAAUUCAUCUCUUGUUUUGAGGCUUUUGUUCACUAGUUUUUAAGCAUUGCGUGAAUCUGUAUUAGACAUUGUGAGACUGACUUUACGUUAUUCCAUGACUUAGGCAUUGCGUAAGUGGUUUUUAUGCUGUGAGGGGCAAUUUUUGAUAAAUUGACUAAUUAUGACACUUAUUUUUUGUUAAAUUUCAACAGCUUGCCAAAUGUGAAGAUUAUGAUUGCAUACGGUGGUCGUUGGAUUGAUGACACUUACAAGGGUGGUGAGACAUGAGUGAGGGGUGUUGGGAGUGAUUUUUCAUUUUCGGGCCUAGUGAAGCUGUUUAAAGAGGUUGUUAGGGUCAAUUCACGUAAAAACGAAAUUGAGCUACAUGCAUUGCUCAGUCAUGUCGCAGGGAUUUCGCACACAAUUAUCAGGAAUGAUAAAGAUGUAGCAAGUAUUCUGCAAGAUGAAUGGGUAAAUGUUGUGUUUAUGAUAGUUAAAGCACGAAAUGAAAAGAUAUUCCUCAUGAACAUGGUAUCCAACAUAGUAAUACCUACAACAAAAUGUUAAUUAUUCUAACAUACCACACCAUGCAUUUCCUAACAAACAACUAUGGCAAUCUCGUUUGAUGUAUCCUCAUGAGUUUGAGCAGCCCGAUACACAUAUGAGGUGUCUGCAAAUGAUGUCUGCACAAUUUUGAUUGGAAUGUGCAUCGAAUGAAAUACUUGGUAGUUUGCAACAAACGCAACCGUGGCUCGAAAAUGCAGUGAGUCCAUUGUCAUUCACAAACGACAAUGUGAUGGUUGUGAAUGAUGGCAAUGCAAUUGAUUAGAUUGAAGAUGAUGUUGAAGAGGAUGACAUGGAAGAUUGGAAUGAUGAGUUGCAGGAUGACUGUGAAAAUGAUUACAUUGGCGAACAUGAUGACUAUUCAGAGGAUGACAGGGGUGAGCACAACAACAUUCCAGAUUGCAACCAUGCAGAUGAUAGUAUAAGACAUGACACAACUAUUGUGUUAGAAGAGGUUCAGUGUAAUGACUAUGCCACAACUGUUGAAUUAGAAGAUGUUGAGGCUGCCAAACCUAUUUACGACAACCCUAUCGCACUUGAGAAUGACAUUCAUUUGCUUGAUGACAGUGAUCAAGAAACGGUAAAUACAAGGGUAUCUCAUCAAUGGAUUAUUCCUAGGGUAGAUAUGAUAUCCUUCCAAAUAGUUGCGACUGAGGAAUCCAAUUCAAUUGAGGACCACUUAUAUCACGAAAAGUGUUUCCAUCAAAGGCCAAAUUGAAACGAGCUUUGAGCAUGUUGGCACUAAAAGAGCAUUUUGAGAUUAGAGUUAAAAAGUCAUGUCAUGCUCGUUUGGAGAUUGGUUGUAAGGAGAAGGCACGCAAAUUUGCUUUGCAUGCAACAAAGUUGCUUGAGGGAGAAUAUUGGCAAGUUCAAAUAUUACAGAAGGUACACACGUGUACUGUUGAUAGUUUACAGUGUGGGUACCAAACUGCAAGCGCGAGGUUAAUUGAUGAGCUUUUCUCCACCAGGCUGCAAGGAAACUAUGUAACCCCAUUGAGACCUAAAGAAAUAAUGGAAGAGAUGAAUCACAUGUGGGGAUUGCAAUGCCUAUAUGGUAAGGCCUGGUAAGCGAAGAAGUAUGUGGAGAGUCUUGUGUUUGGUCCCCCAAAAGAGUCAUGCCAACUCCUCACCUCGUAUUUCCAUAUGUUGGAACAUGAAAAUCCCGAUACUAUCACGGUUGUCGCUGCGGAUGGGGAACAACGACUCAAAUAUUGUUUUUGGACGUUUAGGUCAUGUAUCGGAGGGUUUAGUGCUGUAAUGCUACUUGUAGUUGCUAUCAAUGCCAUACAUCUGAAAGGCAGAUUCAAAGGUAUUUUGUUUGUUAUGGUAUGCUAAGAUUCGAAUAAGCAGAUAUAUCCAGUUGAAUUUGGCAUUAGCCACGUGGAGGACAAAGAGUCUUGGUCGUGGUUUCUUACCCAAUUGCGUAGUGUGGUUGGUUGUCUUGAAAAAGCAAUGUUCAUUUCUGAUCAGCAUCUUGGCAUUAAGAAUGCAGUUGAGAAAAUGUACAAUGACGCGCGUCACAGUCUAUGCAAUUACGUUAAAAACAAGUUCAAGCGCGAAGAUGUUGCCACGAUUUUCACCUUGGCUGCCAACUACGAUAAGCUCACCAAUUUUAACAAACAUAUGAAUCAGUUGAAAUAGCUUUGCAAACCUACGUACGACCGCCUUAUGAUAUUAAGCCUUGAGAGAUGGGCACUGAUAAUUCUAUUUUAUAGAAUUAUUUUACUCCAAUUUUGUUAUUAAAUAUUAGCUAAGUCCUCAAAUUUCAAUUAUAAUUUAGUUAUUUCUAGUUGUUUUUAUAAUUAGUUUAUUUUUUUAGUAAGUUAUUUUAAUUUUAUGUUAUUCCUUUUUAUUUGGUUAUUAUUUAUUAGUUUUUAUAUUUUUUGAAGGAUUAAAAGUGAUUGGGCUUAAUUUUGGAAAGUAAAGUGUUGAAAGACCCAGAAUCUGCUUGCAUAUGCUUCAGUAUUUUAGCCAUAUCUCGAGAUACAGAACUCCAAAUGAUGCGAUUCUUAGACUAUUAGAAGGAUAAGAGACAGAGCUAUAACUUUUAUGCAGAUCACUUUGCCCAGUUCUGCCUCAAAGAUAGAGAAAAUCACGUCAGAAAAUGGCUGAAUGUACUGUGCCGGGAAUGGAAAUUUGUAAAGAAUGACAAUUGAUUUUUGAGCCUCUUAUUACACUUUUAAGCCAAUUAAACCCUAGCUCAACUUAUGGAACUUUAGGUUAAGCUUAUUAGUAUACAUAGGAUAUGUUUAACAACAUUGGAGAGAGAACCUUUAAAGAUUUAAGAAGCUAGAAGUUGAGGCUGAAACUUGGAGAUCAAGGCGGCAAAUAUUGAUUUGUUUUCUUCAUUGGCUUUAAUUGUUCUUGUUACUUUCAAUGGUUGAAUUUUAUACACUGUUAUUUUAUUUUGCAAUUAUGAGUAGCUAAUUUUCUUUUUCUAGGAUUGCAAUUCAACUCACAUGUAAUCUAAGUUUUUAAUCUCUUACUUAUUUUGAACCAGAUUUGAAUUGUUUAUUCCAAUUUGUUCUUAAUGCUUUUAAUUGUUUGGCCACCAAUUAAAUUGAUUUAGGAACCUAAACAAACUUGGGAAAGGGAGUUUAGUGUAGACUAAAAUUGGGAUAGCAUAUGAUCAUAUUAAUUGAUUUGCGUAUAGGAUAUGGAUAUACCUAUCGGCCAUAUGUAACCAGAUUAGAGCAUGAACUUAAUGAAUCUAUUUUAAUUUCAAUCCACAUAGGAAUAUAGUGUCUUGGUUAAAAUAGAUAAUUUUAUAAGAUGAGUUGGGAGACCCUUAUAAAUAAUUUAGGACUCUAGGUUAGCAAUUCAACCCAUUGAAAUAAGUUAAAAAAGAGAGGUAAGAUUUAGAUGAAGUGCGAGGGAUAUUGUAAUCCUAGAUUUGCUUGAUUUGAUAUUUUCUUAAGUUAUUAUUUUGAUUUUUCUUGUUGGUUAAAAUUUUAGUUAAUCAAUUAAUUUUGAGUGUUUGGAUAAGAUUAAUUUGUUCUAAUUUUAGUGCUUAGUAAAAUUUUAGAUCAAUUCCCUGUGGGAUCAAUACUUUGCUUGGUUAUAUACUGUCUAGUCGAUACGUAUACUUGCGUAGUAGAUUUUUAAUUGACAAAUUUUUGGCGCCGUUGUCGGGGAAUUGUUUCUAAAAUUUUUACUAAUACUAAUACCAAGCAAAUUUAGUCUUAAUUCAAUUUUUUUUAUUUUAUUUUCAGGUACUUUUGAUUGAGGAGAUGAAUUAUUGUAACUACAGUGAACAUCUGAACAAUUUGUGCCUAAGAGGGUUACUAGUGAUUAUGAAUUGGCUAUUAAUGAUUUGGAAACUGAAGUAGAUGCUUUGUCUCAAAAAAUUGUCGCUUGGGGUGUUAAUGGUUUUCAAAGUCCUUUUGUGGUAUGCGAGCUUUGUGGACAUAGGCAUUCAAGUGAUUGUUGUCCAACCUAUUAUGAAUCAAUGCAAUUUGAUGGAAGCUUCAAUGGGCAACAAAACAAUUCGUACUCCAACAGUUACAACUCAUGGUGGAAUCACUCAAAUUUUUCAUGGAGUAAUGAUCGGGGUUCUACAUAUUCAUCACAACUUGUUUUUCAGCAUGAUUUCUAGUCACAAGUUAGAGCCCCUAUUCUUGUGAAAAAGCUAACUUUGAAGGAUUUGUUAAUGCAAUUCACGAAAAAGAAUGAUGCCAUCAUUCAAAGUCAAGCAGUAUCAAUCUGAAAUCUUGAGACUCAAGUGAGCCAACUUGUUAAUUACAUCAACAAUAGGCCUCAAGAAAUUUUACCAAAAGACAUUAAGCCUAAUCCUAGAAAUGAAGAUAUGGUAAGCAUCUUGAUGAGGUAAAUGGCAAGACUGUGGUAGAUGAUGGAGAUAAAGUAGAUCAAGGUAAUACUUCCAGCGAUCAAGUUCAAGAUGAAAAAAUUAAGCAAGAGAAAGAAGUAUCUACUCCACCACAAGUCAUGCCAUAUGUGCCUUCCAAUCCUUUUCUAGAUACAGUUGAUGAGUUACGUAAGGAGGCUGUUGUUAUGGAAAAUCCAAAGCAACUCCUUGAAGCUUGUUUGGUUCAAGAUGCAACAACUAAGGACUAGAAUGAGAAGGACUCACAAAUGUUACACAUGUUUUGAAAGUUAUACCUAAGUGCAUUAUUCAAGAAGAACUCAAUUUGAGAAGUUGGGUAAAAGUCAACUUAUUCCACCACCUUCGGUUGAGCAAGCACCAAAUCUUAAGUUAAAGCCACCACAACCUCAUCUUAGGAGGAGACUACUUUCACACCUCAAACUUUUUUCGUGCAAACUCAAACCUUCUUAAAGGGUGAAUAAACACCUCAACCAAAGUCAAGCUACUGACUAUAAAAAAAAGCUUCUUGGGAGGCAACCCAAGUUAUAUCCUUUUAGAUUUAGUUGUUAUUUUAGUUACUUUUUGUUUUUCUAUGUAAAUAAGUAGUUAUAACCUCUCCCUAGGUUAUUUUGUUAUGUAUACAGAUUUGGAAAGCAUGAAGAUAAGGAGAAAGAAAAUUAGAGCUUUCAAAGCACUUCCACCAUUGAUAAGGGAGUUUAAUUUCCUUAUAUAUUUUUUUAGCUUUUCACAUUGAGGACAAUGUGCAAUUUAAGUUUGGGGGAGGCUUUUAUUGUUAUUAGUUUUUGUGAUGUUUUUAGGUUAGUUUAGUUUUGUAAUUUUUUUUUGUUUUUAGGAUUUAUUUUAGGAAUGCUUGAAAUAAAAAUUGCCUAUGCCAUGAUAUUACCAAUCCUAAUAUGGUAUUUUAAUUAUCUUUUGAUUCUUAGCUUUUGAGAAGUAUAUAGUUAUAAUUUAAUUUUAUGUGAUAUUCUUGUGUUAGCUUUAUUUUAGAAUGUGACUUUCAAUAAUUUGAGCACUAUAUUCUUUUACUUAGAAUUUUUGUGUGAUUUAGAGAAAUUUUAUGUUGAUGAAAAAGUAUAGUGAAGUCAUGAAUUCUAGAAUUUGUUUGAUUCUCUCUUGAGGCGAAAUCUUAGAUGACACUUAGGAUAGGAAGUGAUUUAGGCCAUCUUUGGACCGUUUAAGCCUUUUUUAGCCUACCUUGUUAUAUUUAUCCUUAGUCACCCUUUUUGAGCCUAAUCUACCUUUUCUUUAUAAUUACAGAAUUAUAUUAGCCUUAGUCUUUCUAUUUAAAUCCAACAAUUUGAACCUUUCACCCUCUAAGUAUUUUAAUCUUUCUAAAGAAUGGUUUGAGCUUAAAGAUAAAAUGAGGGAGAAAAGUGAAAAAAAAAACAAGAAAAGAAAAAAAAAGUGAUGGUUGUUAACAAAAAUUGCCCCUUGUUUAUAAUUGUUAAAAAUAAGUUUGGGGGUUGAAAAAAAAAGAAAAGAAAAGAAAUAAAUGUGUUGUACAAAGGAAAGUUUACUUCAAGUUUAGGGGUGCUAUUUAAAAAAAAAAAAUUUGCACUCUUUAUAUGUCCUAGAUUGAUUAAGUGUUUAGGGUGAAUUUGAGCCUAAAUAUAUCCUUUAUCAUGCCUUGACCCUAGCCUUACAUUACAAGCUUGAUAAAGACCUAUUGAUCCUUGAAUAAGUGUUAAUUUACAUUAGUGGAGAGAGAAAUGAAAAGCAAACCUAUGGGAUCCUAGUACUAAUCUAUGCUUAGAUUUGGCAUAAACUAAUCCGAAUUGCAUGAAAUUCUUUAUAAGAGAGCAUUCACACACACACAAGAAGUCCAAUUCAAAAAAUAAGUUUUCACUUGAAUUGAUGCAUGAAUUUAAGGAUUAACUAUAUGUUACCUUAAGUUGGAAAUUAAGUUAAUUUAUGAGGAAAAAUUGGGAAAUCAUGAUUUGGUACUUUUAUCUCUCGUUCAAGGAUUUUUUUUUUUAUGUUCAGUUUUUUUUUUGUGAUUUUCUUUUGCUCGAGGACUAGCAAAAUCUUAAGUUUGGGGGUAUGAUAAUUCUAUUUCAUAGAAUUAUUUUACUCCAAUUUUGUUAUUAAAUAUUAGCUAAGUCCUUAAUUUUCAAUUAUAAUUUAGUUAUUUCUAGUUGUUUUUAUAAUUAGUUUAUUUUUUUAGUAAGUUAUUUUAAUUUUAUGUUAUUCCUUUUUAUUUGGUUAUUAUUUAUUAGUUUUUAUAUUUUUUGAAGGAUUAAAACUGAUUGGGCUUAAUUUUGGAAAGUAAAGUGUUGAAAGAUCUAGAAUCUACUUGCAAAUGCUUCUGUAUUUUAGCCAUAUCUUGAGCUACAGAACUCCAAAUGAAGCAAUUCUUAGACCAUUGGAAAGCUAAGAGACAGAGCUACAACUUUUAUUAUAUCACAUUGCCCAGUUCUGCCUAGAAGAUAGAGAAAAUCACGUUGAAAAUGGCUGAACGUAUUGUGCCGGGAAUGGAAAUUUGUAAAGAAUGACAAUUGAUUUUUGGGCCUCUUAUUACACUUUUAAGCCCAAUUAAACCCUAGCUCAACUUAUGGAACUUUAGGUUAAGUUUAUUAGUAUAAAUAGGAUAUGUUUAAUACCAUUGGGGGAAAAACCUUUGGAGAUUCAAGAAGCUACAAGUUGAGGCUGAAACUUGGAGAUCAAGGCAGCAAAUAUUGAUUUGUUUUCUUCCUUGGCUUUAAUUAUUCUUGUUACUUUCAAUGGUUGAAUUUUAUACAAUGUUGUUUUAUUUUGCAAGUAUGAGUAGCUAAUUUUCCUUUUCUAGGAUUACAAUUCAACUCACAUGUAAUCUAAGUUUUUAAUCUCUUUCUUACUUAUUUUUAACGAGAUUUAAAUUGUUUAUUCCAAUUUUUUCUUAAUGCUUUUAAUUGCUUGGCCACCAAUUAAAUUGAUUUAAGAACCUAAACAAACUUGGGAAAGGGAGUUUAGUGUAGACUAAAAUUGGGAUAGCAUAUGAUCAUAUUAAUUGAUUUGCGUAUAGGAUAGGGAUAUACCUAUAGGCCAUAUGUAGCCAAAUUAGAGCCUGAACUUAAUGAAUCUAUUUUAAUUUCAAUUCACAUAGGGAUAUAGUGUUUUGGUUAAAAUAGAUAUUUUUAUAAGAUGAGUCGGGGAAACCUUUAUAAAUAAUUUAGGACUCUAGGUUAGCAAUUCAACCCAUUGAAAUAAGGAAGAGAGGUAAGAUUUAGAUGAAGUGUGAGGGAUAUUGUAAUCCUAGACUUGCUUGAUUUGAUAUUCUCUUAAGUUAUUAUUUUGAUUUUUCUUGUUGGUUAAAAUUUUGGUUAAUUAGUUUUAGUUAAUCAAUUAAUUUUGAGUGUUUGGAUAAGAUUAAUUUGUUCUAAUUUUGGUACUUAGUAAAAUUUUAGAUCAAUUCCCUAUGGGAUUGAUACUCUACUUGCUUACAUAUUGUCUAGUCGAUACGUAUACUUGCGUAGUGAAAUUUUAACUGAUAGGCACAGGCAUGACCACUAGUAAGGUGAUACAAGGUCAUGACAUCCAACAUUGCGGAGUGUAUUAACUCCUGUCUGAGCAUGCAAGAAAAAUGCCAAUAGCCAUCUUGAUCAAGUGCACUAGAGGCAUGUUCCAAUGUUGGUUACAUGAUCGUCACAAUGAGUCAUUGAAUUUGACCAUGCUCCUCAGCCCUUGGGCUAUUAAUUUGUUGAGCACAUGGUUCAAUGAAGCAUGUCACUUUUCCACACAACUAAUCGAUCGGGUGGAGUUUCAAAUUAUAGGUGGGACUAAGGACAAAGUCGUCAACUUGUCCACUAAGAUGUGUUCAUGUAGUCAAUUUCAGAUCGAUCUACUCCCCUGGACUCAUGCCAUGGUAGCAAUAAGGUAUGAAUAAUCAUGUUUUCUUAUUUUGUGUGUGAUGAAUUGAAAUUUGACAUUGUUCACCAAUUAUGAUUUCAUUGCCUUGGCAGUAAGUGCAAACAUGUAGCCAUUGAAUUCUGCUCAAACUAUUACAAGACACGAUCUUGGGUGGAGGAAUAUGCAAUUCCCGUUCACCUAGUUGGGCAUCAUAGUGCUCUGGUUCAAAUUGCCCAACUGGCCAUCCCAGUUUGAAGGGACAUUAUCUUCAGGUACGACACCCAUAAUGUUCUCAGAGUUUCUAGUUUGCUCUGGUUCAAAUUGCAGACAGAGAGCUCUUAGUCGACUAACUUGGUUGACUAAGUUGGUUCUGUUUCUGGUAUGCAGAUUCUGGCAUAGAGCACUUAGUUGACUGACUUGGUUCACUAAAUUGGUUCUGUUUCUCAAACUCUUCAGCCCACUAUUUCUCCAAUUUGAAAUUUGGUCAACUAAUGUUCUUCCUUGUUUCACUAAUAAGCUUCCUCCUUGUUAUUUAGUUACAUCUUGUUGAUCUUAUCCCUCUUUUUCUUUCAAAAAUACUCUUUGAAGAGUCAAUAAAUUAAUUUCAUAUAUUACUUUCCUGCGCACUCAAGUAAAGGUAUUAGACACACAUAAAUGGGAAUGUUUUAUUAUCAUAAAAAACUAAUGGAGCCAACAAUCUCCCCUUUUUUGAUGAUGUCAAAACAUUCCUUGAUUAACAGCAUAGUGUCAUUUUAAUUCUUUUUAGUUUUCUGCAAAAAUUGAGGAUUGCUCCCCCUAAGUAUAAGCUCCCCCUUAGUGUGUGCAUAUUUUAUUUAUUUUAUUUCAGCCAAUUUUAUUCUCGUCAUAUAGAAAAUGAUAUUGUACAUUUAGAGUAUACAUAGGUUCAGCAACAUAGAGUGAUUUGCAACAAGUAAGUAUUAGCAGAUCAUCAUUAAACUUUCAGCUUUAAGUGUUGACAGAUUUUCAUCAUUGUUCCAGCAGUUGUUAAUAGUUUAUUGAUUUUAGAUUUUGUUCACUUCAUUCAUGUUUCAAUUGAUAUACUAUUCAUACCAUUUAUAUCUAUUUUCAAACAGAAAUUAUCCACAAUGCCAUAACAAAAAUCAUUUAUCAGCAUGUAAAUCAAUAUCAGCAUAACACUAGCAGAUUUUGUUGAUGACAGUCAAAAUACCAAAAUAGCAAAAUAUUAGUAGACUUCAAUUUUUAGCAAUUAAGCAACAUUGUCAUAUCAGCAUUCAUUUUUCGCAUACAACCACAUAAAUACCAGAAUUAAAACUGAGUGUUUAAGUGCCACCAUGGCACAAAUAACAGUUAAUCAACAAGUAUUCCAAAACUGCCCCUGGACUAUUGUUGCUUCCUAUCUCCUAUUUUUCUAAGUUCAUUCAUCUUUGAUUCUGUCUUCUUUCUUUUCCUAGGUUCCUUCCUGGUUCCUCUACCCUAACAUUUUUUUUUUAAAUUUAUUCUCUGGUUCCUAGUUCCUGCACUCAUUCAAUUCUACUCCUCUUUUUUGUCAACAUCAAAGGGAGGGGCUUCUAUUCAUCUGAUAUGUUAGAGGGUGAGGAUUCAGUGCUAUAGAAAAGGUUGAAAGGAAAAGGAGAAGGCUCUCGGAGAGGUGAAGACUGUCUUAGGGAAGGUUCUGGUGAGGACUUGUUUGAGACAAGGAUUGAAGAGGAGGCUGAAACUGGUCUGGAUUUCUCCACCAACCUGGAAGACUUUCUUCCCUUGAGAAAAGCUAUCUUGGUUGCCAUAGUCUUCUUGCCUUUGGUUGGUAGUUUUGCCUCAGUUGGUGGUGCUGUAGUGGCUUUGGCUUUCCCUGCUUUUGUCUUUACUCUGGCAGCUAAUGCAAAUUUCUUUCGUUUUCCUACACCUUCACCAUCCUUUUGAGUUUCAGUCCUAGUAGUGUCCUUUUCAGCUUGUCCCUCAUUAACCAUUUGGUGGAAGAUAUCCAUGAUGAAAACUUCCUUUGAAUUUGGAGGAAAGGCCUGGUGUUUCUCUGUCUCUAAAUUAUUUUUGCUUUGAGGUUCAGGGGAGGGUGUCUUGGCUGGUUAAUCAACCCCUUGGGGAGAGUUUUCAGUCUGCAGAGCAGGACUGACAGAUUUAUGGGUGGAACCUUCAGUCUAAAUGCUUGAACUUCCAACAUGAGGAGUAGAUUUUUCUAUUGACUUAAUUAAAAUUUCAACACCUUGUUGUGCAAAUAUAUGUGGAUGACAUUGUAUUUGGUGCAACUAAUAAGGCUUUAUGCAAGAACUUUGCUAAGGAAAUGCAGGGUGAAUUUGAAAUGAGCAUGAUGGGAAAGUUGAAGUACUUCCUUGGUCUUCAAAUUAAACAAAGAAAGGAAGGAAUCUUCAUCAACCAAGAAAGAUAUACUCAUGAUAUGCUCAAGAAAUUUGAUAUGCUGAAGCUGAAAUCAAUUUCUACACUAAUGAGUCCAUCCACCAAACUCAACUUAGAUGAACAAGGUAAGGAUGUAGAUCAAAAGCUCUAUAGAGGUAUGAUCGGCUCUCUUCUCUACUUAAUAGCAAGUAAACUAGAUAUUCAAUUUAGUGUGUGCUUGUGCUAGAUUUCAGUCACAACCUAAAGAAUCACACCUAACAGUUGUUAAGAGAAUUUUUAGAUACCUCAUAAACACUCAAGAACUAGGAAUAUGGUACUCUAGAGACUCAAAUCUUAGCUUAGUUGGAUAUUCAAAUGCUGACUUUGCUAGCAACAAAACUGAUAGGAAAAGCACUAGUGGAACAUGCCAAUUUUUAGGAAGGAUGAUUGUGUCUUGGUCCAGUAAAAAGCAAAACUUAGUGGCACUGUCUACAGCAGAAGCUGAAUAUGUAUCAUUAGGUAGUUGCUGUGCACAAAUCCUUUGGAUCAAGCAACAACUAAAAGACUAUGGAAUAACUAUGCAUAAUAUACCAAUAUACUGUGAUAACACAAGUGCAAUCAAUAAAUCAAAAAAUCUUGUGUAGCACUCUAGGACAAAGCACAUUGAAGUUAGACACCAUUUUAUUAGAGACCAUGUGGUGAAAAAUGAUAUUAAGAUAGAAUUUGUGAAUACUUUACAUCAAUUAGCAGACAUUUUUACCAAACUUCUAAGUGAAGAUAAAUUUUGUGAGAUUAGAAGAAAUUUAAGGAUGAUUAGUGUGAAGGAAUUAUAAGAAAACCUUUGGCCCUCACAUAGAAAACAGAAUGCUUUCAGUCGACUAAGGACUUCUUAGUCAACUAAGAGUGGUCUGACAGCCUUAAAUAAUAAGACUCAGUUAGUUUAGAGAAAGAAGAGUAAAAUGUGGUAAAAAUAUGAGUUUACCGGGUACAAAAAGAAUGAAGAAAAACUGUCAAAGGUAAAUAACCAAAUUUUAAAAGGAUGUUUGAAAUUAUAUAGAAAUAAAAUAGGGCAGUACUUAAAAGAAGGUGAACAGUGUUUUUUGCAAUAACUGUUGACUAUAUUUCCUCCUCUCUCCCCUGAAACCCAUUGCUCUAAACACAAAAACCUAAAUCUCCCUGUUUGCCUCUGAAACCCACUCAAACCCUCAAAAAUUUUUGAAACUAACAUGGCUAGAACAUCUCACAGUAAAGAGAUAUCAGAAAAGAAGAAAGGGAAAAAGCCAAUGGAGGAAGGAAUAGGAACAGAAAGUCUGAAGAAGAAACUGAAAAUCAUGCCUCGUUCAGUGAAAGAUAUAUCCGAGAAACUAAGAGAAAAGAAGUAGAAAACUGAUAAGAAGAAAGAAAUAGAGCCCUCACUCCACAAAGGUACCAGUUCUUCUUCUUCGAGAAUGCACUAAUCUUUUGUGGAAAAUUCAUUAAUUGGAAGAGUUUUAAGAAAAAUGUAGAAAUAUAGACCAGUCUAUCUAAGUACUUUGAUGAACUAAAACUAAAAGGUUACAGCACCUUUAAGAAUAAGUCUUAUAGUCCAAGUUUGGUCAAAGAGUUUUAUUCUGGAAUUGCUUUGAAAAGAAAUGAAUUAAUAGAUUCUAAUUAUUAUGUAGAAGAUGGUUUGAAUGCUAAUCUGAAUGGAAAAUAGUUUAUUAUGAUUAUUGAGGAUUUAGGGAACUUGAUGAAAAUAGAGUAUGAAAAAGGUGAAUUUGAAUUGCUUGAAAAAUAUGAUCCGUCUUCAUUGUGGGAAAUCAUCACUGGAAGGAAAGAAAAAUAUUCUUCAAAAAGUAAUUCUGGUUUGAUAACCAGCCCUCAUAUCAGAAUUCUACACUAUUUCAUAGUAGCAAAUAUACAAGGCAGAAGUGGAAGCCUUAGCUACAUCAGCCUCCAAGACCUUUGGCUGAUGGAGCAUGCUUUUAAUUGAGUGUCUCUGAAUUUGGGAAGAUUUAUGAUUGAGAAAAUGAAAAGUGCCUGCAGACUUGAUAAGGUAAAUCUGUCGUAUGGGAAUGUGAUUACAUCCCUUGUGCAGAAGAAGGGAAUAUGGGCAAAAAGGUAUGAUAUGGACUUGGUAAAAACUGGAGAUCAAGCCAUUCAUUUUGACAGCUUGGUUAAAAUGGGGUAUGUACUUGAUGGAGAAAGGUUCAUUAAAACCUCCAAGACUGGUCAAGAAAAAAACACAGCUUACCUGCUCAACCUGAAAAAGCUCCCUCUAGAUUUUCAAAUGAAGUGAUUUUUAAUUUGCUCAUGAGGAUUGAUGGUAUGCUGAUUGACCAAGGAAUGAAGAUACAAAAAAUGGAAGAUAAAAUCACUGAGUUGGAAAACAAGAUGAAGGAGAAGGAAAACAUGCCAUCUGAACCUGUGGCUGCAGACAGUUCUGCCACAUCUAACACUGUACCUACACAACAAGGUAUUAAAUCAUUUAGAUAUCUCCUAAUGAACAAUGUAGUAUCGUUGCUGCCUCUAUCAUACCCUUUUUCAACUAGAAAUUUUGAAAGCCUCUCAUACCAAGCUGUAGGAGCUUGUUUCAAUCCAUACUAGGCUUUAUGAAGUUUGAAAACAUGAUCAGAUUUUUCAAAGUCUUCAAAACCAGGUGGUUGUUCUACAUAUACUUCCUCUUGAAUUAAUCCAUUUAAGAAUGCACUUUUGACAUCCAUUUGGAACAAUUUAAAAUUCAUGAAACAUGCAAAAGCUAGCAACAACCUUAUAGCUUCAAUCCUAGCAACCGGAGCAAAAGUUCAAUCAUAAUCUAUUCCUUCUUCUUGGUUGUAUCCUCUUGCUACCAACCUAGUUUUAUUUCUAACUACAUUUCCUUGUUCAUCUACCUUAUUUCUAAAUACCCAUUUUGUACUAACAAUAGGGUGAUUUGAAGGUCUAGGUACCAAUGACCAUACAUGACUCCUUGUGAAUUGAUCAAGUUCUUCUUGCAUCGCCAUUAUCCAACUUUCCUCUUUUUCAGCUUUUUCAAAGUUUUUAGGUUCAAUUUGAGAUAUAAAAGCUGAAAACUCACAAGUUUCUCUAGUUGCCUUCCUAGUUUUAACUCCUUGUGAAAUGUCACCUAUUAUUUGGUCUUGUGGGUGAUCUCUUACAAAUCUCCAACUCCUUGGUAGAUCAUCAUGUUGAUUUUUUGCUCUUUGCAGUUUUUCUAGAGGUGGAGUUUCAUUUUCUCUUCUAGGUGAGCUUUCUUCAUUAUUUUUGUUGUUUUCUAAGCUCAUUUCCUCCAUUUGUUUUUCUAAGACUUCUACAUCAUCCUCAUGACCAUGAACUUCUUUUUGCAAUGCAUUUAACUCAUCAAAAACUACAUGAAUUGAUUCUUCAACGGUUAUGGUCCUUUUGUUAAAAACUCUAUAGGCCUUUGAGUUUAAAGCAUAUCCUAAAAAUAUUGCUUCAUUACUCUUUGCAUCAAACUUCCCUAGGGGUUGUUUUCCAUUGUUCAAUACAAAGCAUUUACAGCCAAAGCUCCUAAAGUGAGAAAUAUUUAGUUUCCUACCUUUAUAAAGUUCAUAUGGAGUCUUUAAAAUCAAGGGUCUUAUUGAGACUCUAUUAAGAAUACAAGCUGCUGUAUUCACUGCCUUAGCCCAAAGAUAUUUAGGUAGGUUGUUCUCACAUAGUAUGAUCCUAGCCAUUUCUUUCAAGGUUUGGUUUUUCCUCUCUACAACUCCAUUUUGCUAGGGUGUUCUAGGUGUAGAAAAAUUGUGAUCCAAUCCCUUUUCAUUGCAAAACUUUUCAAACUCAUCAUUUUCAAAUUCUCCUCCAUGAUCACUCCUUAUGCUAACUAUGGCUAGUCCUUUUUCAUUUUCUACUUUCUUACAAUGACUUAAGAAUGCUUGUAGAGCAUCAUUCUUAUGAGCAAGAAAAUACACCUAAGUAUAUCUAGAAUUGUCAUCAACUAUAACAAAGCCAUAAGAUUUUCCUUCUAAGCUAGUUGUACUUAUUGGACCAAAUAGAUCAAUAUGAAGUAAUUCAAGAGGUCUAGAUGUUGACACAAUUUUCUUAGACUUGAAGGAUGUCCUAACUUGUUUUCCUAGUUGGCAAGCAUCACAUAUCCUACCAUUUUCAAAUUUUAACUCAGGCAGUCCAACGACAAGAUUCUUCUUAAUUAAUUUUGACAUAGUAUUCAUGCUCACAUGUCCUAAUCUCCUAUGCCAUAGCCAACUAUCAUUUUUAGCAUUUGCAAUAAGACAUACUUCACUAUUUACUUCAAGAUCUUUAAGAAAAAUUACAUAUAUAUUCUUCAAUCUAUUUCCUAUAAAUGAGAUUUUAUUUGUACUCAUAUCUAUCACUUCACACUUAAUUGAAUCAAAGCACACUCUAAAUCCUUUAUCACAUAAUUGACUAAUACUUAGUAAAUUAUGCUUUAAGCCUUUAACCAACAACACAUGACUAAUUUAGGUUUGGAAAUUCUUACCAACCGUACCAAUACCAUGAAUUCUUCCUUUUGAAUCAUCUCCAAAAGAUACGGUUCCUCUCUUUCUCUUAUCCAGCUGAGCAAACAUUUCAUGUCCUGUCAUGUGUUGUGAACAGCCAUUGUCCAAGUACCAAGGCUGUUUCUUCUUGAGUUGAGCUUUUGAACAUGUCUCCUUUAAGUCCAGCUCAACCUACAAAACAAAAUUUCAGUUUUUCUUUAUAGGUACCUACACUUUGAUGGGUCUUUGAGUGUUAGUUGCAACAAAGGAUCCCUUAGGAAACCAUAUUUUUUUAAAACAAUCAUAUGAUAAAUGACCAUGUUUACCACAAUUAUAACAUUUAGGAAAUGCUUUAGCUGAAUUUUUAUUGUGGUAUGCAUAUCUUUUUCAUGAUUCAUUUUUCAAGCAUUUAAGAGCUGUAUGUUCAUCAAGAGUUAUUUGCAAAGCUUCAGACUUGUUUUCCAGCUCUAGUUUUAAAACCUCAAAGUCUGUUUUUGAGUGUUCUAACUCAAUUUGCAAAAUAUUUCUUUGCUCAAAAACAAAAGUAAAUUCUUGUUUGAUUUGUUCCAAAUCAUUUUCAAGAAAUGCAGACUUUUUCUUGAAUGAUUUAUGUUUUGAAAAAAGCUUUUCAAAUUCAUCAUAAAGGCACUCAUACACAUCCUAUAAAUCAUCAUAAGAAUUAAUGCAAAGGGAUGGGGGUACCUCUAUUUCAUCCUCUUGUGCCAUUAAACAGAUGUUUGCUCUUUCCUCAGAUUUUUCAUCAUCAGUUUCAGAGCUUGAUGUGUCACUGUCCGACCAUGCAACAGCCACCAUUACUUUCUUGGAUUUCUUAUUUUUCUUAGGGGUUUCAUCUUUCAACAAUGGACACUUGGACUUGAAGUGACCAGGUUUCUUGCAUUCAUAGCAAAUCAUCUCCUCCUUUUUGUUGGAGUCAUUUUUGUUCCUUAUUUUCCAUGAAGCACCUUGGUCUUUCUUGAAACCUCUUCUAGUUAGCCUUCAAUUUCUUCUGCUCAUUAGCUUUCUGAAUUUUCUUGUAACUAGAGCUAAUUCUUCUUCAUCAUCACAAGAAAGCUUUUUUAGCUCUUUUUCAAGGAUGCUGACUUUAAGUGCAAUACUCUUUUCCUUUUCCUUUGCUUCCCUUCGGUCUUCUUCUUCUUUUUCUUUAAGCUCCAGCUCAUGAGUGCGAAGAGAACCACAAAUCUCAUUGAUUGUGAUGAUGUUCAAAUCUUUAGCCUCUCUAAUGGUAGUCACUUUUGGUUUCUAGGAUUUUGGAAGGCUUCUAAGCAGUCUCUUAACUAAUUCAUGUUCAAGGAUAGGCAUGCCUAGCUGACUUAAUUUAUUUGUGAUGUUUGUAAACCUAUCAAACAUGCUGGUGAUGUCUUCACCAGGCUCCAUUUUGAACAUUUCAUAACUAUGUGUUAAGAGAGCAAUAUUGGACUCCUUUACUUGAGAAGUCCCUUCAUGGAUUAUUCUAAGUUUUUCCCACACUUGUUUAGCUGUUGUACAGCUUGAGACUUUGUUAAAUUCGAUGGGGGUUAAUGCACAAUGCAAUGUGUUGAUGGCCUUAAAGUUUAAUUGAACUUUCUUAGUUUCAGCCUCAGUCCAUUCAGACCUUGGCUUGGGCAUCAACUCAUUUGUCACUACAUUCACGGUUGAGGGCAUAAAGGGUCCAUCAGUUAUGACGUCCCACAUUUCAUAAUAUAUAGCCCUAAUAUAAAUUGACAUUCUAGUGCUCUAAUAAGGGUAAUUAAAGCCAUCAAACAGAGGUGGCCUGUUUGUUGAUUGUCCCUUAGCAACUAUGGUUUUUUAUUGAGCCAUUUGGAUCUUCCCAAAGGAUGUUAAGCCUUAAAAACAGGGAACUAGCUCUGAUACCAAUUGUUGGUUCUGAUAAUAUGUGCUAGAGGGGGUGAAUAGUAUAAUUUGGCUCUUGACAAGAUUGGAAACUAAUUUUCAGAACUUAAGAAAACAAAAACAGAGUAUAAAAUGCACAACAAUUUAGAGUGGUUCGGUCCAAGACCUACAUCCACUACCUUGAUUAUCCAACCAAGGAUUUUCCCAUAAAUCCACUAUGGACUGGUGAAAUUCACAAGCUUUCACCAAGCUUUACAAUGGCUUUUACCAAGCUUAGCCACAACCUUUUACACUAGUUUUUCACGAGCUCAACUAAAACCCAAUGUGGUUUUCCAAGGCUCAACCAUAACCUACAACAAUGAAGCUAUCCCAAGCUUGAACAACCCCUUAGAGUGACUCCCUCACUUUAAGAAUUCAAGAGAAGUAGUAAAAGAAAGUACCUAUGAUCACAGGUUGAUCUGAUUGGUACAAGAUUGAGUGCUAAAUACAAAUGCAAAGAGUAGGCGUUUAAGUGCAGACAAGUGCAGUGAAGCUUUUUCGAUUUUUCAACUCUCUAUAGCUCAAAUCUCAUUCAAGGCUUCAAAAAACUUAUUUCUUAUUGUUGGAAGACCUUUUUAUACUUGGAGAUGCAACUCUGAUGGCUGUUUGGCAGUUUAUAUCCAUUGGAAACAAUUAAAGAUGAGUUCUAGCCGUUAAUCUGUCUUGUAGUGCUCUGGUUCAAAUUGCAGACAAAGAGCUCUUAGUUGACUAACUUUGUUGACUAAGUUGGUUCUGCACCAAAACAUACAUUGCCAUUAGGUUUAACCUUCGCUACCCAAUGACAAAAAAAAUUAAAUAAAUUAAAAAAAUAUGGUUUUUUAACUCACUUUGCCUUCUCUAUCCAAACCUGCAAUAUUGACGUAGAAGCCUAAAGGCCUCUCACCACACUGCCAUUUUAGCAUUCUUAGGCAAACCUGUUCAGACCGGCGCUGCCUUCCAAACAAGCUUUGGAUAUUAAGAAUUGCUUCUCAUGCCCAAAACUGAACAUCAAUUAUGAAACAAUUUUUACUCACAUCGUAAAAUCUUAUGCGAAAAGAAUAAUGAUAAACAUUAGGGUAUGGCACUCUACCUGAAAUGUCCAUAUAAAUUCAUAGAGGUGGUAAUGUUUCUUCUCUACUGCUCCCACCGCUGGAGGUUUGAAACCCUUCACCAAGUAAUCGAAGGUCAGACUCCAAACGUAUGUGCCUCAUGGGAACUCAUUAUUAGUCGUCGAUGUUCUCGACUAACGAUAACAACCAUGGAAUUACUGAUCGUCUAUAGUCUUGAUCGAAUAAAACAUUGCUCACGAUCAAGAAGAGGGCCAUCUUGGUUGCGUCUCCUUCCUGCUAAAACUACCCUCCUUUGAACAUCUUUAAAACUUGUUGUAUCUUCACCUCGUUCCCUGGUCCCCAAUAUCACUAGUAAAUUCCUCCGAGGAUGACCUCGUAGGGAUUGACAAUAAGGGCCAGUAGGGUACCAAACUUCAGUCCUGUCACCAAGAAAAACUCCCUCUUCGAGAACUGGGCCUUCGUUUUGCCUAUGGCAAACCAUAACUCACCCUCGAUGGCGUUGGGUUCAUUGAUUUUGUGCAGUUUUAGGUUGUGCAUGAGAUUGGCGCAGAAUAAACUCUUCUCUGAUUCAACGUCCAUCAUAUGCCCAAAGCAUGUUCUCUUCAAGGUUUCCAAUUCAUUUACUUUGCACAUCUCACGUAUCACAUGCAGAUGCAACCACUUACAGUGGAUGUUAAUGCCAACGUUGAACCCUCACUGGUGCCUCGGCACACAAAGCAAAGAUUCCACAUUAUUCUGCUCUGUUCCUAUGUUGGCUAUUUGCAACAAAAAACAGAUAACAUUCCCAUUUUAGUUAAUAUGAUCAUUGUAGAUUAAAAAAAAAAAGAAUUUCUAAGAAAUAACCCUGCUUAGAGGCUCACUCUAAUAGUGACCCUCAUAAUAAUUUUAAUUGUUUUUAGAUAACCCUGAAAUAGAAUAAUUAAUGCAUAUGUCAAGCAUGGAUUAUUAAGUAAAUCAACAUAUACAUAUUAAAGCAUUACAGUUGACCCAAAAUAAUACAGAAUGAGCACAAUGUUGGUCAUGCAAUGCCAUAUAGUAAAUUUCAUGCAAUUAUAACACUCGCGCAAUUUCAUACAGAAAACAGUCAUGCAGUGCCUUAUCAAUAAGUCAUGCAAUUAUUAAUAGUAAACCAUGCAAUGAUCUAUCAGCAAGUCAUGCAAUGCUAAGAACAAUUAAACGAAUCAUGCACACACUAAGUGACGCCAUGCCUAAACAAUAUUCACGCAAUGACCUAUCAACAAGUCACGCAAUGUUAACCCUAAUGCAAUCACGCACACUCUAAGUGACGCCAUGCCAAAAUCCAGUCAUGCAAAAAGUGCCAACCAUGCAAGCAAGCCCUUAGUCACGCAAUUUCUAAACCCUAAACCCAAUUCCUAUCAAAGGGUGAUAACGCAUACAUAUCAACCAGUCACUCAUGCCUUGUCACCUUUCAACCCCAACAACAACAACAAUACCACCUUCAUGUUUAUAUUUAACAAUUUCAAACAACACAAAUAUCAAUAUGAACAAGCAAUAACCCUAAAUGAAAAACAUGAAGAAUAACAAUAACCCUAAAAAUAUUUCUCCACAUGGUUCAAAAUAAAAUAAAAAUAUAUUAUACCUUUCUCCGAGUAAUGUGAACUUCCUCUCAUUGCUCAAUAUGUGAACUACCUUUAUGCGAAUAAUAACCACUCCAAAAUGCUUCUACCACCACAAAAAAUGUUCAAAAGUUGAAGUGGUGAGGAAUGCUUUCAAUUGAAUUCUUUGUUUGGAGAUGUACGGUCUAUUGAUGAGAACUGAAGACUUACACACCUUGUAAAUAUACUUGACCCAUUAAUAGGUUUCAGGUUGAGGUGCGGAGUGACACAAUAAUGGGUCGGUUUCAUUAAAGGCAAUUUUAUUUUAAUUCUCUUGGCUAAAAACAAUUAAAAUUAUGGAGAGGCCUAUUUCCAGAAACGUCGUAUGCAUGAGGUUUAUUUUAAAAAUGAACUCUAUUAAUAAAUAAUAACCUUAUUAAAAUUUAAUUUUAAAAUAUAUUUUAAAAUAUUUUAUAUUUUAAUAAUCAAUUAAAUUAGAUAGACGGGCGCCAAUAAGGUUAGCUAUGGAACAAAUUUGGAUUUUUAAGGUAUUAACUAGGCUUAGUCCAACCAUGAACACCUUUAGCUGUAACAGUGUCUUUGAGAAAUCAAAUAAUUAUUAUCAAUAUGAUAUUACAAGCAUUUCUCGAUAAAUUAAUGCACGACUCACAUCUUGAAAUAUAUUUCAAUAAUUAUCUUAAUGAAAAUUGAAAUUAGUGUUAACAUUUUAUGCCUUGAAAUUAAUGUAUUAAAUAACACAAUGAUUCACUAGGAUAAUUAAUGAUAUGCUUAAAUUAUGAUUAUGAUUUACUGAUAAAUCAUAAAUUUAUUUAUUUUUCAAGUCAAUUUAAAGAUAAAAAUUUUUAAGGACAAAUUUUUUAAACCCUUAAAGAUAAGUUUUUUUUUUGAAAAAAACAUUGUUUUUAAUUUUAACUGUUUUUAGUUAAGAGAAAAUAUUUUUGGAUAAAACUGUCCUUAACAAUACAUCCUCAUUGUUUUUUUAGAAAAAAAAAUCAACACUAUUAUUACUCAAGAACAAUGAUACAGAGAUGAAAAGGCUAAGAACAAAAUAUUUAAAUUAUAAAAAAAGAAAGAUAAAAAAGAAGAAAAAAGGAUCAUCAUCAUAAUUAUCCUCUCAUACAAACAAACAAAAAGGAAAAGAGAAGUGGAGACAAAGCUAUUUUGGUUUUCGAUGAAUCUUUUGUUUUUUUGUUUUUUUACUUUAGUUGGUAGGGUUGUUGUGGAAGAAUCUUAAAUCCUUGAUAGCUAUAGCCCUAAAGAUGUACUAGUGGUAUGCAACUGCUGUAAGAACUCCGACGAAAGGACUAACCUAGAAAACCAAGAAAAAAUAUUGUUAUAUGCCAUGUUAAAAAAAAAUUAUUACACGCCAUGUUUAAAGUGUUUAACUUUAAAAGUUUAUGUCCUAGUGAAGCACAAAAAUAGAGACCAAGAUACAUGUCAUGUUUAAAAAAUAAUAUUGUUACGUGCCAUGUUAAAAAAAAUGUUAUUACAUGCUAUGUUGAAAAAAAAAUACUGUUACAUGAUACAGUCUAUGUUGAAAAAAAAAGUUAUUACACAUCUUGUUUAAGGUGUUUAACUUUAAGAAUUUAUAUCCUACUGAAAUACAAAGAUAAAGACCAAGUUACAUGCCAUGUUGAAAAAAAAAAAGUUAUUACACGCCAUGUUUGUGUUUAACUUCAACAGUUUAUAUUCUAGUGAAAUACAAAGAUAGAAAUCAAAUUACACGUCACAUUAAAAAAAAGGUGUUACAGGCCAUGUUGAGAAAAAAAGGUUGUUACAUUCCAUGUUUAAGGUGUUUAACUUCAAGAGUUUAUGUCCUAGUGAAAUACAAAAUAAAGAUCAAGUUACAUGCCAUGCUUAAACCAUGCCAUAUUCAAUAGAUUUAGUACACGCCAAGUGCAUUAGAGUUGUUACAUACAAGUAUGGCAUGUAACAACUCUGGGCAGUGUUCUAAUUUACAGAUUUCACUUAUAUAACUUUAACCCAUCAACUUUGGAGUUAUGUGAAUAUAAAUCAAUAAACCCAAGAACAUAUAUUAAUGUAAUCUUUGCUCUUUGGUUUGUAAAUCAACGACGAUAUGGUGAGAAAUAGAUAGAAAGAGAUGAUGAUGCUGGUGGUGAAAGAAAGAAAUCGAGGGCACAGUAAAUCACUGAUGCGAGAAAGAGAUAUCGAUAUAAUUAGAGAGAGUUGGAUGACAAGAGAGGGAAAUCGGGAGCACAACGACAAAUGUCAUAAGGAGAAAUCAAGAGAAGAAAUUGUGAUGAAUGGUUUAAUUUAUCUAAACUGGAUUCAAGGGCAUUUUUGUCAAAUCAUGGCAAAUUUUGGAUAAAAGUAGUUAACUUGAUGUUAGGGGCUAUUUUUGAAAUUAUCUCAUAAAGUUAACCAUUUCUCACAAUUUCUUCUAAGUUUUAAGUUAAUAAUAAUUUACUAAUAUAUCACUAGCUGCUUUGAGACUACCCUUACGAGAAAGUAACAGUUAUUUUACUCACAUAGGAUGCCUAAGUUAAGAAAAGAAAAAGAAAGAGAAAAUCUCCCUGCUUUAAAUCAUGAUCCAAUGGAAAUUUAAAAUUAAGAAAUAUAUAUAAUAUAUUGAAAAGCAAGAGAAAUGAUUUUAUUAAAGCCAAAGGUGAUGUAAUUCAACUAAGUUGGCAAUCGACAAAACAACAAAGCUUGAAUUCGAAAAGGCAAACAAAAACAAAGAGAUGGCCCUUCCAUCCCACAAAGAUUUUGUUGGUGACGUGUAUUUGCAGUUGUAUUUGUAUUCUGUAGCCAAUGCAAACUUAUGAUAAGGAAAAAAGAUAACAAAUUCAUUGUUGUAGUAGUUGGUUGUCUGAAAGCAAGGUUCUAGUGAAUGAGUGAUGUAAAACAAGUGCUCUCAAAUAAAAUACUCAAUAACUAAUAAAAUCUUAAGUCAAAAUCCAUAGCAUUAACAACAUCUUGAUAUUUUCUUUGGAAAGCUUUUGACAAAUCCUUUGCAAUUCCAAACACACUCUUUAUCAAUUGUAGGUUGAAAAUGAAUUCAAAACGUUGGAUUAGUUGUAAUAAGAUUUGAUUUGAACUCUUUUUUUUUUUCAACAUAGCGAGAGGUGUCCACACCUUGCCCAAACUUGAUCCAAUUAAAUUAUUUUAUUAAUAAAUAAUAUCAAUUUAUUGAAUUUUUAUUUUAAGAUAUAUUUAAAAUAUUUUAAAACUAAUAGAAAAUAUUAUUUAAUUAUGUUAAUAAUAAAACAAUGUCAUAGGUGGAUCUAGUCGAGCUUUUUAAAAAAGGAGACUUAACCAUAACUCGACCUAUAGACCAUUCAACAAUCAAGUAAUCAAGUGCAUCAAUAAUUGAUGCAACAAUAUGAUUAUACUGAGUAAUUGACCGUAUUGACAACCCUUUCGUAUCUUACCAGCACAUUUGAGAUUAGUUUCUUGGUUAAACCUCUUUCACUUGUAACUUUGCCAUUGGCUAAUACCUUAACAACUUUGUUAGCUUGACUUUCUCUAAGAAUAUUGUAGAUGGUUCUUAAAAAGAGGAGUGAGAUAAUGUUUCAAAAAGUAAAAUGAAAUAUGCUAAAGGCGACAAACAAGAAGAUUGGAUUAGAACUUGAAGUGUUGAGUGCUCUUCUGGCAAGAAGUAAGGGUUACAAAUUAGAGAAAAGAUGGAAAAAAUGUAAUGGUAGAGCACAUAGGAGAAUAAGAUGGAAAAAGUUGAGUAAAAUAGAGAGAAUAUUUGAGAAAAGCUUAGAAAGAGCUUUUUAGAGAGAAUAUUGUAGAAAGGAAGUCUAUUCAAUUUCUAGUGUGUCCUUAAUGAACUGCCAAAACUCCUAUAUAUACCAAGUAGAACCAGUUGGUUAGAAAUUGUUUAUUGGAUGUCAUGGGAAAAGCAUGUUUAGGGAGAACAAAUUCAUCAAAGGAAGAAUAGGUCCAUUAUGGAAAAAAAUGUUUAUUAUGGGAAGAACAAAUCCAUUAUUUAAGAAUAAGUUCUUCAUGGGAAUAACACAUUAGCCCACUACUUGUAUUUGAUAGUGAGUAGACAUUAAUGACAUAGUGGAACUCAAUGACACUUAACAAUGUGUGAAGUGUUUCCCAAGAAUAAGGGAAAAGAAAAAUCGUUUGGACUUCAAGAAAAUAUUAAAAGGAAGACCUACUAACUACCUUUAUAUUCGGUCCCUCAGGUCAAGCUCUUUAGAAUAUCCUAAUGGUGAAACUAAACCAUGAAUUCUAUCAUUUGUUUCGGAUUACUUUGAUUGUUAUCCACAUGAUAUAAUUGUUCUUUCCUUAUGUAAAACAACUCUUAAAGAAAUAAUAAGUUAGCCAAAAAUCAAGCAUUGAGGAAUAUCAUAACAUUUACAUGAAGCUACAACAAUAUCCAGUAUGAGUUACCAAUGAUAUGAAAAAGGAGAAGAAAAAGAAUUUUCAUUUUUUUUAACAGAUAAAAAAGUCAAUUAAAGUUUAUGGGUAAAGCAAUAACGAUAAAGUGCAAAGUCAUUUGAAAUGUGACCAUGUGACUAGCCAUAAAACACGUCUACUAACAUAUACAGAUAUCUUAUACUUUUAUGAGAUUUAAAAUUUUUUUAAUCCACGUAUUUAUAAUUGUUAUGAUACCACAUGCAAGUGACAUAAAUUUUAUAGAACACCAAAAUAUAAAUAGUCAGAUAGUACCAAUUUAGGUACUUGGAAUCGAAGUUAGGAUAAUUCCUAGGUUAGGACUAUGGCCUUCACCUUUAGCGAAAAAGAGACUCAAUUACGUUUAAAUAGGUCUUAAUAUAGCACCUACCUUGUAACGACCCCUCUUCUGUCCCUACCGGCAUCCGAGACCUUUGGGAGAUCCCGCCCAGUCCCAAACAAACUUUAAAGAAAUUUCUCAAUAACUCAUUGUAUAUUUUUACUAAACUGUAUUCAUGUUUGAACCAUAAAUAUUUAAAACAUGAAUUCAAUAAUAACCAUAGCCAUUAAAUUUUGACUCUAAAUCAUGAGAGCACAAUUAAAUACAUUGAGUUCAAAAAUCUCAAAUUUCCUGUUUAUAUUAAAACAAUAUUUGUUUACAUAGUAAAACCAGAGUACUACAACUCAACCUUUAAUAGUGGAGCGACUCGGGAUAAAAUGCUAUGAGAUGCCUUUACCUAUCUGCGAUGGACCAGACGCGCCGAUGAUUACACACUAGGCUGAUCAUUGUCUGCAAAACGGGAAAUAAAAAAAGGUGUGAGUCUCACAAACUCAGUGAUCAUCAGCUCCGUGAGUAGAGCGUAAAUGGAAAACAAGCAAACAACAGAUUAGUUGAAUAUUAAAAUAAAAGAUUAUAAAAACAAUUUAUUUCAUAUGGGAGUUUGUGCCUUAUAUGAAAAAUCGAGGAUUUCUUACGCAUUGUAAACACUUCAAUUAGUGAAUCAACCAAGGUAGAUAAAAUUUUUUGCUACAAAAUAGAUCAAUAACUUUAUUCAAGUCAAUCAUUUGAAAUAUUGAAUUAAAACAAUUUUACAUAAAGAAAAUUAUGUCGUCAAGAUCAAUUGACAUUUUACUCAAAUCAAAUCAAUAUAUUCGGCAAGCUCCCAUGAAAUUGAAUGUUAAUCAAGCUCAUACGUAAAUCAUAGAUCACCUCGCACUCGAGGAGUUAAAAUUCAUUUCACCAUAAAAAUAGGGGAGCUACAAAAAAAACCGUAUAAUUUCGUUUUCACCAUGCAAAGAAAUAUGAGUUUGAAAACCUAGAGAUGCUACUCUCGAGUAGGGAAUGAAAAUAAACCCAUGGUCCCGCUACCACGUAAUACAUCCGGGAGCCUCGCUCAUGACAACCGUCGCGAUGUCCCAAUAGGCACUCAUUACCUGGAAUGCCGAUCGGAACCCCACAAGGCUUAGGAUCAGCUUCCGCAUCUCCCCAGUGAGUGACAGUUAUUAAAUCUCGCAUUUCAAGAAAUCAUAAGUCGUUUCUAAAUCAAAACAAUAUAAUAUUAUUUUCUGGCUCAUAGGGGUAUUUUAGUCAUUUUUCUUCAAAAAUACCGAAACCUGCCAAAAACAUGGUGCGUGGGUGAAAAACACAUGUUUCAUAAUUAAAAGUAAAUUUAGAUGUCUAAAAUAAUUAUUUGAAAUGAAAUUAUAAUUGUUUAAAUAAAAUAAUAAUAUUCUAUUUUCUAAAAAAAAUAAUAUUUAUAGAGAAAUCCGUAAAUAAUUUCUGUAGUGUAAAAGCUAAAUAUAUUCAUACAUUCUUUAAAGUAGAUAACUGAAGUAUAAAAUUACUUUUACAGUGACACGUGGGCCCCAACUAACCAAUAUGGUGCAAGUUUGUGAACUACAAUUUUGUCCAUGCAAGGCUAACUGAGGUCCUUGAUGCAAUCAGCUAUAUACCGGCUAUCCCGAGCCUGAAAUGUGGGAAAUUAAGGGUGGUGAGAUUAUAAAAUCCCAGUGAGUGAACAGAUACCACCUACACCAUCUAAAGUCGAGUAAAUGGAGACAAGUAAGAUAUUCCAUUCCAAUAUGUUUUUCAUAACAUCAAUAAUCAAUUUACUCAAAUAAUCAACUUGGCUUAUGUAUUUCACAAAACUUGACUCUUGCCAAAGUCAUUCCCAAGGAUGCCUUGGACUAGGCAUCUGAUCGAGACCACCAAGACUGUUCAGUGUAGUACACACAUGAACAUAUUUUUACAUUUGAAAAUCUAGCCAUGCCUUGGCGUUGACUGAGUCUCACUCUCACGCGGUGGUCCACGUGAAGUGCACUCAAAUCUUUACCUCCAGAGACACCCUCCACACGGCUCUUCGAUUGAGGUAAGGUAUGUCUGAUUUUGUGCCCCCUCUCUUAGGCUGGUCCACAGAACCUCCACUGCAGGAAUCAUGGAUUAUUUUAUCUACCACCUGAUUUAUAAAAUCUUUAUCUGCAUGACAUGGCAAUUUAUCGCAACCUAACUUCUCAAGGCUGAAUACAUAGUACAAAUAAUUCUAACACCAAAAAUCAGUUUAGCCAUUCAUGCUUAUAUAUUGUCAUAAGCCAUUCAAUUUAAAACCAUAAAUUUACAACACAUCAAGUGGUCUCCAAUUUCUCUAUUUUCAAAAACAUAAUUCAAUUUCAAGACAAUUUAUAAAAUCAUUUUAUUUAAACACAUUUUACUUAUAAAACAUAAGGAUUUACCAUUUAACUCAUUUUCCAUAAAAUCAUAAAAUCGGAUAAAACCACUCUAGAUAAUUAAGAUGAUAGUAAGAUUACUCACAGUAUUAGGAGUAGAAAGACUCCUAGUCUCGGUCUUUGGUGUAAUCUCUUUAUCCUUAUCAAAUAGCUCACCACCUAUACAUCACACAUGACACAAAAUUUAAUAAUUUGUGUCAAUUUGUCAUAAACUAUUUCAGGCCCUCUAAAUCUAAAUGAAUGCAUGGAAUGCUCAGUCAACCGCUUAAACACGAUGUUGACCUAAUUCGGUCUAUCACCCGAUUAAAUUACCAACGUGUCCAAUUUAAUCCCAAAUUACUCCAUUUCUUUUCUAAUACCUCAAUUCACCAAACAUUAUUCAAGUAACACUAAUUUCAGCAUCAAAAUCCUCCCAUUUCUUCAUGGAAAAAUGUGGCCAUUACAUGCACUAACACAAUGAUUUUUCCUACUUAAUUUUCUCACCAUUAUUCAUCAUUUUCUAAGCCAUUUCUCUUGAAAUAAUAACAAUCCAUCACCCACACACAUCAAGGAAGAUUCGGCCAAUGAAGAUUCAUGGGGAAAAUGGAUUCUUUUCUUGUUGUUUUGCUUCUAAGUAUGCUAAACUAACCUUAAUCACUAACAUAACCUAAAAUCAAACAAGUCCAACAUCAUUUCUCUCACCAUACUCAUUUGGCCUACCACUUAUUCACUAUGAAAUCAUGCUUCUCAACCAUAGAAAUAAGAAAAUAAACCAUGGGUAUUGUAAAUCUCAAGUAAAAAUAAAGAAUUUUCACUUUACCUUGCUUAAUUCCUUGGAUUUUCACACUUUCUCUUGAAUUUUUCUUCGCUAGGGUUUGUUUUCCUUAUUUUCUUUCUUUCCUCUCUUGUUUUCUUGCUUGGCCAACCCUUAUGGUGAGAAUGGGCUGAUUCUAUGCUGAUUUUUAUAGCUUAAUAAUAAGAUAAUAAAGCUUGACACGUGGCACUUUAUGAUUGGUCCACACUUUAAAUAUUUGUCUUUUAAUUCUUUAAUUCUCCACCACACAUUUUCUCAUAUUUCUCCAUUUCUAUGAUGAAUAAAAUCCCUUGGUCUUGGCAAGUGUCGGGGUGAAAAUUUACAGAUUUGCCCUUGAGGUGGCAAAAUUACCAUUUUGCCCAUGAAUAGUGAAAAUUCUAAUUUAACUCCGAAUUGAUCCUUGAACUCCAAAUCACCAUUUUAAGUCAUUCCUGAAUUGUAAAAUUUUGAAUUUCACCUUAAAAUCCCUAUUUGACCAAGUUCGAGGCUUAGAUCAACUUUAUUGUACCUCUAGGUACAGUACCGACUUUUAUCAAUUUUUCGGGGCUUUCCUAGUAUGUAAACAUGCUAUCCAUCAAAUGUAUAUCAUGACAAGUAUUUUAUAAGGUCAAGCUUUACACCACCAGAUCCCACAUGCCAUGGCAGUCUCACGAUGUUGGCCGACAUCAGAGAAUCAAGCGGUUGCAACCGCGUAAUCAUUUCGUGGCCUAGCCACACAUACAUAUAUCACAGGCUGUGGCCCCAACCAUGCCUAACCGUCCGUCGGUGACCCAAUGGUUCUCUAGCUAGAGCUCACUCGUGCACGAGGGUCACACUUAACCGAUGUGACAUUCGACCUACUCUCGACGCCCUCGAUUUGCGAAACCAUUUUUGAAAUCGUUUUAUGUCCUCAAAAGCUCGUCUCAAAAUUAUUUUCAAAACAUUCAACACAGGGUAUAAUAAAAUCUAUCAUUUUCUUAAAUAUAUUUAUACAUGGAUUUCAAAACAAUAAUUUGCUUGGUGAAUAAGCAAUAUAACCAUGAAUGCACACUACACAAAUUUAAGGUACAAAUUUUGAUGUAAAAUAGUGCGAAGGGCUCGCUUCCUGAUUUUUAAAACACUUUACAUAUAAUUUAUACAUAUAUUUAUUCAAAACGAUUUCUAAACAUAAUUUGCAACCACAAUUUCCUUAGAUUGCUACCAACACAUGCUAUCCAAAAUUUUCACGUUUAAAAUAACUCAUACAUAUAGGUAUAUAUUUACAAAAAUUUUAAAAUUUACACCCCCUACUCACCUCACAAUAGCGGGAUGUUACGUCACUGUUAGUUCGUAGACAUAUCUAGUUAUUCCUUCCUAUCGGCCGUUCGUUAUUUUUCUUCAACCUACCACCACAGUGUUCCACCGUUACUUAUUUCUCUUAUAUAUUAAAACCCACUAAUAUAUAUUAUAUUAUAUUAUUUUAUUAUUUUUUUUCUCUUUAUGCCCCCCCAUUACCUUUCCUUCACCUGAUCUCUUUCUCAUCCUUUUUGCUGCAACCUUCAUCCUUCCUCCUUCACUACCUACACCGGUAGCAAGCUCUCUACUUUCACUCUCACCGUCGGUCACUGUAACUGAAAUACCCCAUACUUUGAUAUGGUGAUAAAUAAAGUUGAUCAAAUACAAAUUGAGGUCAAUUAAAAUGUUUAAAAGUGAUAAAAGAUGAAAAAAGUAGUUUAGGAUAAAAUAUUUCGCAAGUGAGAAAAUAACAAUAAAAUAAUAAUAAUUUUAUCCGAGGAGAAUUUGUGAGAUAAAAGGUGAUUUGGAAGUCAAGUGAGGCAUAAUAAGGUAUUUUGGGUACCAAGGAGACAAGAUAAAAUAUUUAGAAUAAAAUAAUAUUUUAUUAAUAAAAUAAUAUUAAAAUAUUAAUAUUUAGUCAGAUAUCGAAAUCAGUCAUGAAGAAAGAUCAUAUAGUUGAUCCAAGUGGGGGAGAAGAUAACAAGCCCGACUCUACAAAAAUAUUUGUCAUGACAUACAUGUGAUGGAUAGUAUGUUUGCAUGUUAGGAGAGUCCCGAAAAAUUUACAAAAGUCAGUAUUAUACCUAGAGGUACAACAAAGUUGAUUUAAGCCUCGAACUAGAUCAAAUAGAGAAUUUGUGAUGAAAUUAAGAAUUUUAAAGUCCCAGAAUGGUUUAAUAUGGUGAUUUGGAGUUCGAGGAUCAAUUUAGAGUCAAACCAGAAUUUUCGCUAUCUAGGGGCAAAAUGGUCAUUUGCCACCUGGGGACAAAAUGAGAAUUUUUUAAAAACAUUUUUGGCCCCAUUUGACUUAUUAGAGUAUGAUUUGAGGUUUAGAAGUGAAAAAUUUUAAUUUCGGUAUAAUUUGGAGUAUAGGGCUAAAAUGGUAAUUUUACCACCCUAGGGGCAAAACAGUAAUUUUCCACCACUAAGAUAUUUUUCCAGCACAUGGUCAUCUCUUAUCCUCAUUUUGACCAUUGACUAAUUGUGUGGUGGAGAUAAAAAGGAUUAAAAUUUUUAAAGUUUUAAAAACGGGCUAAUGACAUGAUGCCACGUGUCAUGCCUUUAUAAUUUAUUAUUUUCCUUUUUAAAAGGCACAAAAAUCAGCCCAUCUUCCACCCCAUGGCCGGCCAAACCAGCAAUAAGAGAGAGAAAACAAAAACAAAACCCUAGAGAGAGAAAAUCAAAGAAAAAGUGUGAAUUUUCAAGGAAAUUAAGUGAAAAAGGUGAGNNNNNNNNNNNNNNNNNNNNNNNNNNNNNNNNNNNNNNNNNNNNNNNNNNNNNNNNNNNNNNNNNNNNNNNNNNNNNNNNNNNNNNNNNNNNNNNNNNNNNNNNNNNNNNNNNNNNNNNNNNNNNNNNNNGCAUUUUCUCCUUAUUUUCCAUGAUUAAAUUACAUGUUUUCAUGAUGAAUUGAUGGCUGAUCAAAUGGGUUAGGAGAGAGAAAGUUGUUAGAUUAAUUUGAUUUUAAGUUAUGUUAGUGUUUUUAGUUAGUUUAGCAUAUUUAGGAACAAAACAAUAAGAAAAGAAUUUAUUUUCCUCCAUUACCAUUAUUGACCAAAUUUUCUAAGGGAAUAUUGGCUGAUGAUCUUGAUGUUUAUUUGAGGAAUUAUGAUGAAUAAUGAUGAAUUAUGAGCCUAGAAAAAUAAUGGGAAUUUUCGGAGCAAAAAUAUGAAUUUUUACCCACUAGAGGUAUUUUCGUAAUUUGCUAUCGGGACUGAUAAAUUGAAUCUCAUUCACAGUCACUAAGGUAAUUUAAGUAUAAUUGGAGUGUAGAAAGUGAGAAGAAUUGAUUUGGAGUUAAAUUGGAGAUAAUAGGCCGAAUUAGGUCAGCAUCGCAUUUAAGCGGUAGUCGGAAAGUUGUAUAUCAUAUCAUGCAUAUAUACCGAGCCUGAAUUGAUUUUAUAAUGGUCAAGCAUUGAUGUGGUGAAUUAUGUAUUGUACAUUGUGGAUAGGUGGUAAGCAAAGUACACUGGUAAAAGUACAGAGAUUGUGCUUGGAGACUAGGAUUAGGAGUACAUCGACUCCUAGAAUUGUGAGUGAACUUAUUAUCGUCGUAAUUAUCUAGAGUAGUUUUAUACAAUUAUGUGAUUUUAUGAAAAAUAAGGUUAAAUGGUAAAUUGCUAUGUUUUAAGAGAAAUUGUGAUUUUAUAAAAUGAUUUUAUAAAUUUUCUGAAAAAUCGAAUACUGGUUUUGAAAAUAGAGUAAUUGGAGACUGUCUGCUUGUGUUGUCAAUUUAUGGUUUUAAAUUGAAUGGCUUAUGACAAUAUAUGAGCAUGAAUGGCUAAAAUGAUUUUGGUGUUAGAAUUAUUUGUACUGAGUAUUCAGCCUUGAGAGGCUAGGUUGUGAUAAAUUGCCAUGCCAUGCUAGAAUGAAUUUUAUUGAUUGGUGGAGUAUAUAUUAAUUAUUCACUACAGAAGGGGUUCCGUGGACCAACCUAUUAGAGGGGCACAGUAAACUCCAUUAUAUUUUUACCUUGAAUGGAGAGGCGCAUAGGGUAUCUCCUAGGGUAAAGCUUAGGGUUCACUUCACGCAAAACCACCACUUGAAGGGGAACUCAGCCAACGCCAAGGAACGGCUGUAUUUUUCUCAAACUAAAAAUAUAUUUUAAAUGUAUAAAAAAAUUUUAACAGCCUUGGCAGACUCUGUUGGAUGCCCUGCGCAAGGUAUCACCGAGUAUGGGUUUUGGCACAAGCCAAAGUUUUAAGAAAUUCAUAAGCCAAGUUGAUUACUCGAUUUAUAUGGAUUGAUUUUAUUUGGUUGAAAUGAGUUGAAAGGUAAUGAAAUUACAGUAUGAUGACUUAUUUUAAUUGUCUCCAUUUACUCGACUUUAGAUAGUUUAGAUGGUAUCUAUUUACUCACUAGGAUUUUAUAAUCUCACCACCCUCAUUUCCUCACAUUUUAGGCUCAGGGAAUUCCAUAGUUAGCUAACUUUGACAAGGACCUUCAUUUGGACUCGAAUCGGUAAAAGCUGUAGGUUUCCAACUUCCGAUGCAUUUUGGUUAGAUGUGGGCCCACGUGUCACUAUAAAAGAAAUUUUAUGCUUUGGUUAUUUGCUUUAUAGUAUAUAUGAAUAUAAUUAACUUUUACGCUAUAAGAAUUAUGUACUGAUAGUUUUAUAAAAAUUAUUUUACAAAAAAAUAGUUUAUUUUAUUGAA
This 37701-nucleotide long non-coding RNA is filed under the name Theobroma cacao (cacao). Its description in RNAcentral is "long non-coding RNA (TCAC_LNC006173)". The record is from RNAcentral. Lineage: Eukaryota; Viridiplantae; Streptophyta; Magnoliopsida; Malvales; Malvaceae.